Molecule: ribosomal RNA, 381 nt
Filed under: uncultured eukaryote
Lineage: Eukaryota
Description: SSU rRNA
Rfam family: Eukaryotic small subunit ribosomal RNA
Source: RNAcentral
AGCUCCAAUGGCGUAUAUUAAAGUUGCUGCGGCUAAAAAGCUCGCAGUUGGAUUUCUGCUGAGGAUGACCGGUGCGCCCUCUGGGCAGGUAUCUGGCUCAGCCUUGGCAUCGUCCUGAAGAACGUAGCUGCACUUGACUUUGUGGUGCGGUAUUUAGGACAUUUACUUUGAGGAAAUUAGAGUGCUUCAAGCAAGCGCACGCCUUGAAUACAUUAGCAUGGAAUAAUAAGAUAGAACCUCGGUUCUAUUUUGUUGGCUUCUAAAGCUGAGGUAAUGAUUGAUAGGGAUAAUUGGGGCCAUCCGUAUUUAACUGUCAGAGGUGAAGUUCUUGGAUUUGUUAAAGACGGACUACUGCGAAAGCAUUUGCCAAGGAUGUUUUCA